This 476-nucleotide ribosomal RNA is filed under the name uncultured bacterium. Its description in RNAcentral is "bacterial SSU rRNA". It matches the Rfam family "Bacterial small subunit ribosomal RNA", at positions 28 to 517 of the family's 1533-position model. The record is from RNAcentral.
GACGAACGCUGGCGGCGCGCCUAACACAUGCAAGUCGAACGAGAGAUGAGGAGCUUGCUCUUCAAAUCGAGUGGCGAACGGGUGAGUAACGCGUGAGGAACCUGCCUCAAAGAGGGGGACAACAGUUGGAAACGACUGCUAAUACCGCAUAAGCCCACAGCUCGGCAUCGAGCAGAGGGAAAAGGAGUGAUCCGCUUUGAGAUGGCCUCGCGUCCGAUUAGCUAGUUGGUGAGGUAACGGCCCACCAAGGCGACGAUUGGUAGCCGGACUGAGAGGUUGAACGGCCACAUUGGGACUGAGACACGGCCCAGACUCCUACGGGAGGCAGCAGUGGGGAAUAUUGCACAAUGGAGGAAACUCUGAUGCAGCGACGCCGCGUGAGUGAAGAAGUAAUUCGUUAUGUAAAGCUCUAUCAGCAGGGAAGAUAGUGACGGUACCUGACUAAGAAGCUCCGGCUAAAUACGUGCCAGCAGCCG